ACGCUGAAACGCCGUUUUCCGUACGGUCAUCGAAGUUAAGCAACGUUGAGCCUGGUCAGUACCUAGAUGGGUGACCGCUUGGGAAUAGCUAGGUGCAG
Molecule: non-coding RNA, 98 nt
Organism: Acanthosepion pharaonis
Lineage: Eukaryota; Metazoa; Mollusca; Cephalopoda; Sepiida; Sepiidae
Source: the annotation of a GenBank genome assembly